This 4640-nucleotide long non-coding RNA is filed under the name Homo sapiens (human). Its description in RNAcentral is "HSALNT0243000". Lineage: Eukaryota; Metazoa; Chordata; Mammalia; Primates; Hominidae. The record is from RNAcentral.
UUUUAAGUGGCACGCCAUCAUUUAUUUACAGAGAAAGGUAUCACUUUAACAAAAUCAGGAGUCCUUCGGGGGCAGAUUAUUCUGUAAUACCACUUUCAUUAUCAGAGAACUCUCGAUACAAAGUGUUCUACAAAACUACAAGAAGAAUCAGGCUAGCCUUUUAAGGACAUCAUCAAAAAUCAGGCCUACCCAAUAAAGGCAGAGGCAGAGCUCUAUAAAAUUUGGUGAAUCCAGGACCACUUAAACAAGUCAGACAUAUAGAUGAUGGAAGACAUGGGACGUGAAUUUCUUUUGCUGGCUUUCUCAUUCCUCCUAUUCUAUCACUUAAAGCAUUUACCUGCCAGCCCCCAACAUCCCAGAUCUCUCCCCACUACCCUUGGAGAGCUCAUUUCUUCUCCUGGCUCCAAAUCUUGCCCCUGUAGACACCUAUCCCUUAUCUCUGUCUGCCACUUAGAUAUAGCACCAUCACCUUCAACUUAGUAGGUUGAGAAUUGAAGCUCUCUCCCAGGAGAGCACCAGUUCCACGUCACCAACUGGGUGUUAGUGAUGCUGCUAAGUUUUCUAGUCACUCAGGUUUGUGACCUUGGACUUGCUGCCUCCUUUUUGGUCCCUCUGACAUGUCUCCUCUUUCCUCCUUCCCUGCCCACUCCUCCAUCCCAUUCUUUACAUCACUCCUAGGCAAACCUUUCUUUGACCUGACACUGCUUUCACUACAUUCUUUCUUUCCCUGCUCAAACUUUCCCAUACCCAACUGGCUCCUCCAUGUAGUUGUCAAGGCCACCAUGAUCUUAUCUCAUCCUACCAGUUCAAAUGGGCUUUUCCACUACUGCUCAAAAUAGUAAUAAAACCACCAGCCACACAUUACAAAUGAGCUUUGCACUCAUCUCAAUUAAUCCUCACAAAGCUAACUGGAAGCCAAAAAGGCAAACAUUGUCCAUAUUUUACAGGCUGAAAUACUGUGACAGGCACAGGGUCACAUAGUAAAAACUGCCUGGAGUAUCCAGAUCUAGAACCCAAAUCUUCAUUACUUGUCUGGGGCAAACUUCACUGUAACCUGGAUAUAUGCCUUCCUCGCCUUGGAUUCAGCAAAUCCGUAGGAGGGUCUGCUCCUGAAAGGCUGUUUAAUGUUUCAAUGGGUUAAAAGAAUAAGAAUUUCUGCCCUCCUUUAUACUUUUUUUUUUUUUUUUUUUGAGACAGUGUCUCUCUUCUGUCGCCCAGGCUGGGGUGCUGUAGCAUGAUCUCAGCUCACUGUAACCUCCACCUCCUGGGUUCAAGCGAUUCUCCUGCCUCAGCCUGCCGAGUAGUUGGGAUUACAGGAGGCUGCCACCACAUCCAGCUAACUUUUGUAUUUUUAGUAGAGAUGGGGUUUCAUCAUGUUGCCCAGGCUGGUCUCAAACUCCUGACUUCAAGUGAUCUACCCAUCUUGACUUCCCAAAGUGCUGGGAUUACAUGAGCCACCACGCCCACCCUAUACUCUUAAUAGGUAAAUAAUCAUUACUACUUGAAUGAAGGCCACAGUAAAUGAGGCAGGAGUACAAACAGUAGGCCAGGUAGACCAACAGCAGUGAAGCACCUUAUGAACACAAUCUGUAGGGGGUUCAGUAAGGGACUUGAUAUUAUGUAUUUUCCGAGCACAGACAGCAUUUGAAAACGGCACGGAAGGUUCAAUUCCUACAGACCAUGGUAGAAGGGAGGGUGUUCCUGCCCAAAGAAACCGCAUGUACAUGUCCAUCCCACUGCCUUUCCAGGCUCUCAUGCAGUAUUCCUAGACAAAUCCAGAACUGAUUCCUUGCCCCUGAACCUCUACUGUACUUUUAUAUCAAAGUUUAAAAGGAUUCCUGUUCAUCUUGCUGUUUCACAAGUCACUCUUGUAGUCCCAACUCGAUUUUAAGAUUUUUUUUUUUUUUUUUUUGAGACAGGGUCUUGCUCUGUCGCCCAAGCUGGAGUGCAGUGGCACAAUCUCGGCUCAACUGCAGCCUCUGCCUCCUGGGUUCCAGCGAUUCUCCUGCCUCAGCCUCCCGGGUAGCUGGUAUUACAGGCACACGCCCGCACGCCCAGCUAAUUUUUUUGUAUUUUUAGUAAAGAUGGGGUUUCACUAUGUUGGCCAGGCUGGUCUCGAACUCCUGACCUCAGGUGAUCCGCCCACCUUGGCCUCCCAAAGUGCUGGGAUUACAGGCGUGAGCCAUGGAGCCCGGCCUGAUUUUAAGCUCUUUAAAGCCAAGAAUGCGGUCAUGCUUCCAUUCUCUCCAAAACGUGAUGGGGAUCUGAUGACAGCUUUUGCCCAAACUGUGGAAAUAGUUCUGAGUUUCCAAAGUAAGCUUCAUAUCUUUCACUAUGUUUUGAUCACUAAGACUUAACCUAAAGAAGUCAAUGAGUGACAGCAGCUUUCUCCCCAUCCAGAUAUUUGCUAUACAGGGAUGGUCUUUCCCUUCUGGUCCAGAGUCCCAGUCUGGUUUAACAAGAUCAGAAUGUGUAGGGGAACGCAUUCUCAUACAUUGCUAUGAGAGUAUAGUUAAGCACAAUUUCUAUGGACGAAGAUAUCAAAACUCAAAAUGAUCUGCUCCUUGAUCCAGCAUCCCAUAACUCUAGCAGCCCAUUUGCAACACAGUAAAACAAAGAACAUUUUCUUCAAUCGGGCACUGAUUAAAUCACAGUGGAUCUCUGAGACAUAGUAACUAGAAAAGCAAGGUACAGAACAGUAUGCAUAGUGUCCUGUCCAUGCCCAAAAUAUUUCUGGAAGAGCGCACAAGGAAAUGGUGAUAGUGAUGGCCUCAGGGAAGGGGAAAAGGGUGGCUGGGGAACAGGGGUGGGAGACUAGCUUUUUACUGUUAAGUUUUGAACCAUGUGCAUGUAUAAUUUUUUUAAAGAAUUAUGCAACAAAUAACUUCUUUAAAAGUCUUCAGCCCCAGUACGGUCGCUCAGGCCUGUAAUCCCAGCACUUUGGGCGGCUGAGGCAGGAGGAUCGCUUGAGGCCAGGAGUUUGAGACCAGGCCAGCCUGGGCAACAUAGCAAGACUCCAUCUCUACAAAAAAAAACAAACAAAAAAAAUGUUAAAGAGCCAGGCGUGGUGGCACAUGCCUAUAGUCCUAGCUAUUCGGGAAGUGAGCCAGGAUGGCUUCAGCCCAGGAGUUAAGACUGCGGCAGGGUAUGCACCACUGCACCCAGCCUGGGUAACACAGUGAGACCCCCAUCUCCUAAAACAAAAUUAAAAAAAAAAAAAAUUAAGGCCAGGCAUGGUGGCUAACACCCGUAAUCCCAGCAUUUUGGGAGGUUGAGAUGGGUGGAUCACUUGAGGCCAGCAGUUUGAGAUCAGCCUGGGCAACAUGGUUAAAAGCCCGUUUCUACUAAAAAUACAAAAAUUAGCCGGGCGUCAUAGCAUACACCUGUAAUCCCAGCUACUUGGGAGGCUGAGGCAGAAGAACUGCUUGAACCUGGGAGGCGGAGGUUGCAGUGGGCCAAGAUGGCUCCACUGUACUCCAGCCUGGGAAACAAAGUGAUACUCCAUCGCAAAAAAAAAAAAAAAAAAAAAAAAAAAAUUAAAAAUCUACAGAGGAGGAAAACAAACAAAAAUAGCAAAAAUGGGACAUCAAUCCAGACAUGAAGGAAAAAAACAUUUUUUAAAUAUUCAUCAUUGUGGCAAAAAAAACCUGCCCUUAAAAAACCAGAAACCUAAGGUUUAAAGAGAUGAGUGACCCCUCAAUUGUUCCUCUGAGAAUAGACUGUGUCUUUCACCUGCUUUUUAAGUCCUCUUCCCAAGGUCUGGCCCGAUGUUUGGUCUCAAUGGUUGUGUAAUGUCUCUGAAUGGAUGAAAUUUACUUCCCUACGGAAAAGUAAAGCAUUCUCCAAAUGCAAGCAGUUGUGAAACAGUGAUAAAGGUCGAGGGGGAAGCAGCAUGGCUGAGAGCUGCUUUUGCCUAAUGUAUUCAUUCACCUGCAUGAACCAAGCACCCACGUGCAUGGAUGUGUACUAUAUACAGACUGUGAGAUGUGGACCUGCCUCACAGUGUACCAGGAGAGAUGAGAGCAUACACAAAGAAUCACUGGGUAGAAAAUCUACAUGAGUUUUAAAAUAGGGAAUUUCUGAAGCAGCUUACUACUAACAGCUAAAAACCACUGGCUUGACCACAUAUACAAAGGCUGCAAUCUCAGAGGGAUAUUUCAUGUAUUUAGUAAAACCUGGGGAAACGAGGAAGGCAGGGAAGUUGAUAAGGACUUGUAGGCACACUUUGGCCCCAGGGAGGCAGGUGGAUGCUGGUGGAGAGCAUCACCUAAAUUAGCUGCCUCCUUUCUUGGCAAUCCUGUUAUCUACACCAUAUGAAUCCAGUCUUUAGCUGGAUAUAACCAUUCGUUCACUCAUUCAUUCAACAAGUAUUUACUGAACAGCCUAGUCUGUGCAGGCCUAUGUUAACUGUCUCCAGCACACUCAAUCCAUGACAUUAAAGUUACAGUUUUGGUCUUUGUGUAUCAGCAAUGACAGGUCCUCACUCUUACCACAAAGCGCAAGUCAGCUUGGCCUCUCAAGUGGAGAGAUAAUCGUUCUAUAGCAAGAAGUACAAAGAUUCUCUGCAGACAAAACCAGCUAGCCAAGGUUUCUUCAUGUUAUUUACAAUUCAAAGUAAAUUUACUUUAUAAGCAGCUAGG